Long non-coding RNA from Xiphophorus hellerii (green swordtail), 343 nucleotides. RefSeq lists it as uncharacterized. The transcript is spliced from 2 exons. The record is from RefSeq and is a predicted model, not a curated record. NCBI's taxonomy places the organism in Eukaryota, Metazoa, Chordata, Actinopteri, Cyprinodontiformes, Poeciliidae.
GCUGCCUCUCCUCUGAUCUGCCUCGUGUUUUCCUGCGUUUACAGGCCAUUCUUCUUCAGAGUAAAUUAGCUGUCAGAGUCCUUCCUCCUCCUGCAUAAUGACACUCUCUAAAUUUGAUGUCCGGCAAAAUGGAAAACAACUGUAUGUGGAUGGCUUGGAGACUCUGGCUGUUUCCUUCUUGCAUUUUAACUUUAUAGAGAAAUUAUGGAAUCAUCAACUGAGGCGGGCAGCUUUAUGCACAGCCUCCCUCUCGCUCUGUGAGAUUGCCUUUUUGUUUUUAUUGCCAGGGGCUGCUGCUGCAAAGACAGACAGAUGCCUUUGUUAAAGAGAUGGUUGUUAAUGC